UGGACGACCUGGAGUAAUAGA
This 21-nucleotide non-coding RNA is filed under the name Caenorhabditis elegans. The record is from RNAcentral. Lineage: Eukaryota; Metazoa; Nematoda; Chromadorea; Rhabditida; Rhabditidae.